GGACGCCGGCGGUUGGGCGCCGUCGCGGCGUGAGAGAGAGAGAGAGAGGCAGCUAGGGUUUGGGGCUCUCGUCUCCUGAGGGAGACGACAACAGAAUAUAUUGUUUAUUGUCUGCUUAAUAUCGAAGGGAUACAUGUGUUUAUAUAGGAGGACAGCCUCCACUAAACCCUAGAUAACUUGGACUCUAAUACAACUUGGACUCUAAUAUAACUUGGACUCUAAGAUAGGUAAGAUAACUUGGGCUAAGCCCGUAAUUAACCCUGCCCAUUGGGCCUCCUCCGUUGGUAUGUUGUACCGGUCAUAACAUCUCUCCCCGCCUUCUCAAACAGCUCGUCCUCGAGCUGAACAUCUGGAAACUGCUGGCGGAAAUCGUCGAGCUUCUCCCAAGUCGCUUCCUCCUCUGGCAGGCCGGUCCAUUGUACCAAGACAUGCCAGACGCCGCGACGCUGUUGCGCCUGUAGCACCUUCGCCACCUGUGCGGAAGCUGGAAGGAGGCGACCAUCCGAAGUAGGAGGAAGGGCCGGUGUCGCUGCAGGAGGGUCCCCGCGGUAGGCCUUCAGUAAGCCGACAUGGAAGACGUCGUGGAGGCGAGAACCAGCUGGCAGCUCCAAGCGGUAUGCGAGUGUGCCGACACGCUCCAGCACACGAAAGGGACCGGCGUAGCGAGGUCCCAAUUUGCGCUUGGAGCGCGGGUCCAGAGACUGCGUGGUCCUGUGGAGGAGGCGCAGCCACACCCAAUCGCCCACCGCGAACUCCGCCUCGCGAUGAUGAGCAUCGUAGUACUUCCGAGCCAGCUGCUGUGCUUGGAGAAGACGCUGGCGUGCCUCAGCCAGAAUGUCGUCGCGGGUGCGGAGUAAGUCGCCCGCCGUCUCGGACCGAGCCGUCCCAGGCUCGUAAGGGAGCAUCGCCGGAGGUGGGCGCCCGUAGACCACCUCGAAAGGCUUGGUGCGUAGGGCGGAGUGAUAGGAGAUGUUGUAGCAGUACUCCGCCCACGCCAGUCCACCCAAGCUCGUGGACGAUCACCAGUAACACAGCGCAGGUACAUGGCGAUCACCUUGUUGACCACCUCGGAUUGGCCGUCUGUCUGAGGGUGGAACGCCGUGCUCAUGUGGAGCUUCACGCCCGCCAGUCGAAAGAGAUCCCGCCAGACAUGUCCCGUGAACACGGGAUCACGAUCGCUGACGAUGGACGACGGAAAAACCGUGGAGGCGGACGAUGCCGUCGAAGAAGGCCCGCGCCACGGAGGCGGCUGUAUAUGGAUGACCCAGGGCGAUGAAGUGCGCGUACUUGGAGAAGCGGUCAACACCGUGAGGAUGAUGGAUUUGCCGCCCACCUUGGGAAGGCCCUCGAUGAAGUCCAUGGAAAUAUCCGCCCACACCUGGGAGGGUACGUCCAGCGGCUGCAGUAGACCCGCGGGUCGUAGUGUCCCCGUCUUGUUCCGCUGGCACGUCACGCACGACCGCACCUAGUCGCGGACCAUCGCGCCAUCACCGGGGAUGUAAAAAUCAGCACGAAGACGAUGGAGAGUCUUCUGCACGCCCUCGUGCCCUGCAGAGUGCGCUAAGGUCAGGACCUGGUGGCGCAGGUCGCCAUGGUCGGGCACGAAGAUGCGGCGGCCAUGUAGGAGUAGCCCCUCGUCCAAGCGCCAGGGCGCGUCCAGCUCGCCGGCGUCAAGGCGCUGGCGCAGGCCCUGGGCGUCCACGGCCGUCGAAGUUGCCCGGCGAAUGUCGUUGAUGAAGGCGAAAGAUGGCCCGGAGCGAAUGCACAUGAUAGUGCCAGCCAUGGCGACGUCGUCCGCGACAUCCUCAGUGUCGCGGCGGGACAAGGCGUCGGCGACCGUGUUGAGACGGCCGGGGCGGUACUCAACGGUGAAGUCGAAGCCAAAGAGCUUGCUGAUCCACUGGUGUUGCGGAACUGUGGAGAGGCGCUGGUCCAGCAAGAACUUGAGGCUGUAGUGGUCCGUGCGCACACGGAAUGACCGGCCCCAAAGAUAAGGCCGCCAGUGGCGCACCGCCUGAACCAGCCCAAUAAGCUCGCGCUCGUAGGCCGCGAGCUUGUGAUGGCGAGCGGCGAAGGGGCGGUUGAAGAAGGUGAGCGGUCCCUCGCCCUGGUGAAGGACGGCGCCGAAGCCGAUGCCAGAGGCGUCGCAGCCCACGAUGAACGGCAUAUCAAAGUCCGGCAUCUGGAGGACGGGUCCCGUCGUGAGCGCCCGCUGGAGAGCCUCGAAUGCCGUAGUCGCCUCCUCGUCCCAGGAGAAGGCGUCGCGUCGAAGGAGACGCGUCAGUGGCGCGGCGAUGAGGCCGAAGUCCCGGAUGUACUUCCGGUAGUAGCCGGCGAGGCCCAAGAAGCCGCGGAGCGCCCGCGGUGACCGCGGGAUCGGCCACGCGGCGACCUUGUCCGCGUCCAUCGCUACCCCUAAACCCUAAAACCCUAAACCCCUAAACCCUAACCCCUAAACCCUAAACCCUAAAACCCUAACCCUAAACCCUAACCCUUAAACCCUAAACCCUAAACCCUAAAAACCCUAAACCCUAAACCCUAAACCCUAAAACGCUACCCCUAAACCCUAAACCCUAAACCCUAAACCCUAACCCUAAACCCGGCGCCGGCGGUUGGGCGCCGUCGCGGCGUGAGAGGUAGAGAGAGGCGGCUAGGGUUUGGGGCUCUCGUCUCCUGAGGGAGACGACAACAGAAUAUAUUGUUUAUUGUCUGCUUAAUAUCGAAGGGGUACAUGUGUUUAUAUAGGAGGACAGCCUCCACUAAACCCUAGAUAACUUGGACUCUAACUUGGACUCUAAUACAACUUGGACUCUAAGAUAGGUAAGAUAACUUGGGCUAAGCCCGUAAUUAACCCUGCCCAUUGGGCCUCCUCCGUUGUUACGUUGUACCGGUCAUAACACCCUUAUUGCCAACUGAACUUCCUUAAGUAAAAUAUUGCAAACAUUGCUGCUGGACUGCGGCACGAUUCUAAAUUUAUGUCAUAAGUUGCGCCUAAGUGGCCCGGUAGAGGUUUACCUGAAAAUAGCUCUCACGAGUCACAAUGAUAUGGACAUCUGAGCAUAUAGUGCCACUGAAAUUGUAGUUUAGGAUUAUUGCCUUUUCCUGAAUGCAAGCCACAUGAGCAUUGUAAUUGGACCACUAUGAUAUUUAACUAUGCAUAUUUAUGGAUGUUGGGAACUGGGGAUGCUUUAAGUUCUAGUUGCAUACCCAUUUACCAAGCAAUGCUGCUGUGGUUGUUAUGUAUGCAUGAUGACUUGUGC
Molecule: long non-coding RNA, 3260 nt
Filed under: Hordeum vulgare
Lineage: Eukaryota; Viridiplantae; Streptophyta; Magnoliopsida; Poales; Poaceae
Description: long non-coding RNA (HVUL_LNC010042)
Source: RNAcentral